UGCGUAGGCGGAAUAUUAAGUCAGUGGUGAAAUCCUGCAGCUUAACUGUAGAACUGUCAUUGAUACUGGUUUUCUUGAAUACAGUUGAGGUAGGCGGAAUGUGUAAUGUAGCGGUGAAAUGCUUAGAUAUUACACAGAACACCGAUUGCGAAGGCAGCUUACUAAACUGUUAUUGACGCUGAGGUACGAAAGCGUGGGGAGCGAACAGGAUUAGAUACCCUGGUAGUCC
This 229-nucleotide ribosomal RNA is filed under the name uncultured bacterium. Its description in RNAcentral is "partial 16S ribosomal RNA". It matches the Rfam family "Bacterial small subunit ribosomal RNA", at positions 568 to 796 of the family's 1533-position model. The record is from RNAcentral.